Molecule: ribosomal RNA, 547 nt
Filed under: uncultured bacterium
Lineage: Bacteria
Description: partial 16S ribosomal RNA
Rfam family: Bacterial small subunit ribosomal RNA
Source: RNAcentral
UGGGGAAUUUUGGACAAUGGGCGAAAGCCUGAUCCAGCAAUGCCGCGUGUGUGAAGAAGGCCUUCGGGUUGUAAAGCACUUUUGUCCGGAAAGAAAUCCUUGGCUCUAAUACAGUCGGGGGAUGACGGUACCGGAAGAAUAAGCACCGGCUAACUACGUGCCAGCAGCCGCGGUAAUACGUAGGGUGCAAGCGUUAAUCGGAAUUACUGGGCGUAAAGCGUGCGCAGGCGGUUUGCUAAGACCGAUGUGAAAUCCCCGGGCUCAACCUGGGAACUGCAUUGGUGACUGGCAGGCUAGAGUAUGGCAGAGGGGGGUAGAAUUCCACGUGUAGCAGUGAAAUGCGUAGAGAUGUGGAGGAAUACCGAUGGCGAAGGCAGCCCCCUGGGCCAAUACUGACGCUCAUGCACGAAAGCGUGGGGAGCAAACAGGAUUAGAUACCCUGGUAGUCCACGCCCUAAACGAUGUCAACUAGUUGUUGGGGAUUCAUUUCCUUAGUAACGUAGCUAAUGCGUGAAGUUGACCGCCUGGGGAGUACGGUCGCAAGAUU